GAUCAUGGCUCAGGAUGAACGCUAGCUACAGGCUUAACACAUGCAAGUCGAGGGGCAGCAUUUUAGUUUGCUUGCAAACUAAAGAUGGCGACCGGCGCACGGGUGAGUAACGCGUAUGCAACCUGCCCGAUACCGGGGUAUAGCCCAUGGAAACGUGGAUUAACACCCCAUAGUACUUUUAUCCUGCAUGGGAUGUGAGUUAAAUGUUCAAGGUAUCGGAUGGGCAUGCGUCCUAUUAG
Molecule: ribosomal RNA, 239 nt
Filed under: uncultured bacterium
Lineage: Bacteria
Description: partial 16S ribosomal RNA
Rfam family: Bacterial small subunit ribosomal RNA
Source: RNAcentral